Molecule: ribosomal RNA, 421 nt
Filed under: uncultured bacterium
Lineage: Bacteria
Description: partial 16S ribosomal RNA
Rfam family: Bacterial small subunit ribosomal RNA
Source: RNAcentral
AAUAUUGGACAAUGGGGGCAACCCUGAUCCAGCCAUGCCGCGUGUGUGAAGAAGGUCUCCGGAUUGUAAAGCACUUUAAGUUGGGAGGAAGGGCUUUAGGCUAAUACCCUGAAGUUUGGACGUUAUCAACAGAAGAAGCACUGGCCAAUUCUGUUCCAGCAGCCGCGGUAAUACAGAGGGUGCAAGCGUUAAUGGGAAUUACUGGGCGUAAAGCCCGCGUAGGUGGUUCAGUAAGAUGGGUGUGAAAUCCCCGGGCUUAACCUGGGAACUGCUUUCAUAACUGCUGAGCUAGAGUACGGUAGAGGGUAGUGGAAUUUCCUGUGUAGCGGUGAAAUGCGUAGAUAUAGGAAGGAACACCAGUGGCGAAGGCGACUACCUGGACUGAUACUGACACUGAGGUGCGAAAGCGUGGGGAGCAAAC